UAGAUCUGCUCUAGACUGUGAGCUAUACCAAUUACAAAAUGAGCAACGAUUCAAAAACCAAAGUUGAAUCACAUCGAAACAACAAAGCAAUGAUCACAACAAAUUUCUGAAAAUACCGAAUUGAAACUCGAUUUAAGCCACUGUUGAUUACUAAGAACUUCGAAUUGAAACACAAAUUGUAUAAUUUUAGAUUUCAGAGUCCGGUUUGAUCAACUUACCUGCUAGCAUCGGCAACAGGAGCG
Arabidopsis thaliana (thale cress) is the source of this 242-nucleotide long non-coding RNA. RefSeq annotates it as other RNA. Lineage: Eukaryota; Viridiplantae; Streptophyta; Magnoliopsida; Brassicales; Brassicaceae. The record is from RefSeq. The transcript has a single exon.